Long non-coding RNA from Spinacia oleracea (spinach), 3579 nucleotides. RefSeq lists it as uncharacterized. The transcript is spliced from 7 exons. The record is from RefSeq and is a predicted model, not a curated record. NCBI's taxonomy places the organism in Eukaryota, Viridiplantae, Streptophyta, Magnoliopsida, Caryophyllales, Amaranthaceae.
CAAACUUGAUGACUUGAUGGCUGCAAUUAGAAACAUUCACACUGCUGUCCAAAAAAAAAACAUUCACGCAUCUUCCUCGACCAACACAUUCUCACUCUAGAUCUAGAUCUAGAAUUCCCAAAAAAAACCCAGGCCAAGGUUUUCGAAUCUCCAUAGCUCGGAUCAACCAUUCUUAAUUGCCAACAUCUGCUCCCUUUUGCACAAAUCUCACCGCUGUAUCUACCUUUCUCUUUAUCUUUGUUCUGCUCAACCGCCGUGCUGCCACCGGAAAAAGUUUCUUUUCGCUCCUUCCUCUUCAUCUCUGCUCCUUCACCGGCGAUAGCACGAGUUUGUGAUAUAGGGUAACUUGCAGUAUUUUGAGUUUGUGUCAAAUCGCCAUUUCGAGUUUGUGUCAAAUAAAGAGGGGGCGAAAGAGAGAGAAAGACGCCAAAAUCCUAUUAUGCUCGUUAUUUUACCUUCGCCUCGUCGAUUGCGGUGUUAGCAGGGGAAUAUGCUGAUAAACAUGGUGACGACAGUAAACCUGUACUGCACUGUAAUGGGAAUCUAGUAGACAAGUCUCGUGCUGGAGGGUGGCUUGUUGUCGGCCUCAUUUUAGGAGUGAUACAUUCAAAUCUCCAGAAGGGAAAAACUUAUGCGCUGAUUCUUAUAAGCCUGAGCAUGCUAUAAAUCUGCUGGGACCUGAUUCACAUGAGAUUGAGGCUAUGUAUUGGUCAGAAUUAUUGGACUUGCAGCCGGUCUCUCAUACAAAACUCAUUAAUUGUCGGUGUGACUGAUUUUCUUCAACCUACUCCGAAUUAUCUCCUUGAUUUACCAAACCGCCAGUCACUGGAGAACGGCAAGUAGGGAGAACGACCAGAUCUUCGAGGGCGAGUUUCCUGAUGUCGUCUUACGGUGUCGCCGCAACCUAACUCCCAGAUCUUGAAAAGUUGAAGAUAUGAGAAAGAUGCUUGAAGAUGAAGCUUGCGUGCUUUGUGAAAUACAUACGAAAGUCGAGCAGGCGAUGAGGAUUCGCCAAGGUAUUUAUUUUUGGAAUAAUUUGUGCUUAAUUGUUGCUGAUCUAUGUUUUUAUGGCUAUUUAUUUAAUUAAUUUAUCUGGUAUUUUUGUUAUUGUUGUUAUUUUAUAGUGUUUUUUCAUAUUAAUCAGGAUUAUAUUCUUCCCUAAAAAAAUAAACAGGAUUAUAUUCUGGUGCUUACUACUUGUAUAUUCUCCGAAUGUGUGUGAAUUGUGCUCUGCUUAUUUUGCUACUAUUAAUUUGAUGUUUGUAGUUGUUAGUAUAUGUUGCCAUAAAACCUCUGUGUGCGGCAUGUUCUUUGGAAAAUUUCCUCACUUUGUAUUUUUGUGGUGGGGCAGAAAGUGGGUUCAUUUAAGGUGGGUAGGAAUUGGCAGUUCCAUCUUUGUUGAGGGGCUUCAGUGCAUCUAUCCGUCUUGAAUGUGAUAUGUCGUUACUAGACCUGAUUUUCUUUUUAUUAUCGCUUUUCUUAUUACUCAACUGUUAUGCAAAAUACUAUUUCCUCGAUAUGGAUCGAAUUAAAGUCUGGUGAAGAAACUAAACUUCUAACUAUUAUAUGAGUUGAUAAUUUCCUGAAAAGCAGGAAAGUGUAAGAAUAGAUAAAUUCACUAAUUAACACACAAUCUUAAUAUUUCCUCUGUAAGUAGUCACAAAUAUUUUUUCCCUGGUUAUUUUUGUGUUUUCGCUGCACUCUACUCAAGGUUGGCAACUUGGCAGCAUCGCUUUUGUGUUUAUUUUUUUGCACCAUUUCUUCUGGUUAAUUUGCCUUGAAACGAAAUGGCAAAUCCCCUGAACUUCUUUCCCCUUCUUGCUAUCUUUUCUUCUAUCCCAACUCAUUUGACCUAUUAGUUAUUUGAAUUUUUCAUUCACUUUUGCUAAACUUUAUACUUGAGUGUUUGGUUUGAUCACAGCUAACCUCUAUCAUGUGUUUACCCGCGUCUAUAAUACUUCAGAGAUGUCAUCUUCUGGUAGUAAUUUGCUCCUACAAAUUAUCAUGAGUUUAUUGUAGGGAAGGUGGCUUGUUGGUAUCCUUCUUAGCUGUUGUUUCUAAUAAUGCAGUGAGUUAUUGUGGUCAGAAUAUGCUGAUCUGAAUGUCAAAGCCAAUACAGAAAAACAAUAACUAAACUAUUAUUUGACUUUUUCUCAUUUUGUACUCGGCCAGAAUAUGGCACAUUGGAGUGAUAGAAAAUUUUUAACUAAAAAAGUUAAACUGGACAAACUAGUGUUUCACGCAUUCACAUGCUUCUUUUACGCUUAAAGGAAAUAUUGUAGAUAGUCAUUCAUGUAAGGCUAGAUUAGGAGGGUUUUUUCACAAUCAUCUUGCUAUGUGUAUGCAGUUUCAGGUCAUUGUUAUGAAUGCAAACAUGGGAUGCAGCUCCUGCCGUGACAAAGUCUUCAGAGUUUUGUCAAAAAUUACUGGUAAUUGAGAUUUGCGAUAUACAUCUGUUUUCAUUUCAGAAACUGAGCAAAGUCUUACAAAUAAUGUUAGGACUGCCUUCAAUCUUUCUUAAACUCCAUUUUUACAAGAUUAUUCGUUUUUACUGAAACACCAUUAAGAGGUUGAACAAACUUGUUGGGCAGUAUAUUGCAACUGAUGAUGCUGGACCUCUGAUGUCAACAAUGCAAGUUAGUGCUCAUAUUCACAGCUCAAUGCAUACAAUGUUAGUGCUUUGGCACAUUCAGAAACUGACAUUGUUAGUUAUGCAGGUUGUAUUGCUUCUUGUGUUAUCUGGUGCUGAUGAGUCAUAUUUGUAUAGGGUAUUUUAGGCGCAUUUAGGUUGCAUUAUUAGGCAUUUAUAUCAUUUUAGUUGCAUUUAGGAUCACAUUUGCAUAAGUUAUCGUUGUCGUACUCUAUUACGCCCCGUUUGUGUUUUCUUAAUGUUUCAGGUGAUUUUACGGUCAUUUGGAUGCUUUCGGAGUGUUAUGAGUUGAUUUGGAUGAUGAACGGAUGGAAUGUUGACUCGAGGAUCAUUGCAUAUCUCUAGGGAUAAUUUUGAGUCAAUAACGAAGCUAAACGCUAUUUUUCUAAGCAUCAAAACGGACAAGCGUUCACUCUUUUGAUGAUAUCUCAAGUUCUACAUGUCGGAAUGAGGCGAUUUUUAUUGGCCUGGAAAGUAGACUUCAAGAGCUUUCCAACGACAGGUCACACGUCCUUAUAGGCAUUGUAGAACAAGAGUUAUCACAUAAACAAGAUGGCUCGACUAUCCGAUUCGCCCGAAGCCCAAAACGAUGGCCCAAUCUUCCCCUUGGGCGCGAAAACCAGCGACCCACCAGCGGGCCCGCUGAUUUCUCCGCCCAGCUACUUCCAUGGGGGUUCGUUGCGUCGUUUCUCGUGAUCGUUCAAUUAAAUGAUAACUUAUGUAAUUAUUAUUAUUUUCCUUUUUUGUUGAGAAUUUAGGAAACACUAAAAUACCUCAAGGGAAUUAAUGUAUUCCCUUAUGCUUUUAUUUUUUUACGUUUUUCCCAAAUAAUUUUUUCACGUUAGUUCUAGUUUUCUAUUCCUCUCUUAUUCCAUUGUCGAACCCUAGCUUUCAAUUUUCAAUUCAUCAAUCUAGAGGUAAUUCAAUCA